UUUAUGGAGAGUUUGAUCCUGGCUCAGGAUGAACGCUGGCGGCGUGCCUAAUACAUGCAAGUCGAGCGAACGGACGAGAAGCUUGCUUCUCUGAUGUUAGCGGCGGACGGGUGAGUAACACGUGGAUAACCUACCUAUAAGACUGGGAUAACUUCGGGAAACCGGAGCUAAUACCGGAUAAUAUUUUGAACCGCAUGGUUCAAAAGUGAAAGACGGUCUUGCUGUCACUUAUAGAUGGAUCCGCGCUGCAUUAGCUAGUUGGUAAGGUAACGGCUUACCAAGGCAACGAUGCAUAGCCGACCUGAGAGGGUGAU
Molecule: ribosomal RNA, 314 nt
Filed under: Staphylococcus aureus
Lineage: Bacteria; Bacillati; Bacillota; Bacilli; Caryophanales; Staphylococcaceae
Description: bacterial SSU rRNA
Rfam family: Bacterial small subunit ribosomal RNA
Source: RNAcentral